RNAcentral lists this ribosomal RNA (622 nucleotides) under Escherichia coli. RNAcentral describes it as "partial 23S ribosomal RNA". It matches the Rfam family "Bacterial large subunit ribosomal RNA", at positions 2029 to 2650 of the family's 2925-position model. Lineage: Bacteria; Pseudomonadati; Pseudomonadota; Gammaproteobacteria; Enterobacterales; Enterobacteriaceae. The record is from RNAcentral.
AGACUCAGUGAAAUUGAACUCGCUGUGAAGAUGCAGUGUACCCGCGGCAAGACGGAAAGACCCCGUGAACCUUUACUAUAGCUUGACACUGAACAUUGAGCCUUGAUGUGUAGGAUAGGUGGGAGGCUUAGAAGUGUGGACGCCAGUCUGCAUGGAGCCGACCUUGAAAUACCACCCUUUAAUGUUUGAUGUUCUAACGUUGACCCGUAAUCCGGGUUGCGGACAGUGUCUGGUGGGUAGUUUGACUGGGGCGGUCUCCUCCUAAAGAGUAACGGAGGAGCACGAAGGUUGGCUAAUCCUGGUCGGACAUCAGGAGGUUAGUGCAAUGGCAUAAGCCAGCUUGACUGCGAGCGUGACGGCGCGAGCAGGUGCGAAAGCAGGUCAUAGUGAUCCGGUGGUUCUGAAUGGAAGGGCCAUCGCUCAACGGAUAAAAGGUACUCCGGGGAUAACAGGCUGAUACCGCCCAAGAGUUCAUAUCGACGGCGGUGUUUGGCACCUCGAUGUCGGCUCAUCACAUCCUGGGGCUGAAGUAGGUCCCAAGGGUAUGGCUGUUCGCCAUUUAAAGUGGUACGCGAGCUGGGUUUAGAACGUCGUGAGACAGUUCGGUCCCUAUCUGCCGUGG